AGGUCAUGUUGGGGACAUUUCUACAACAUUCGUUUGUAGUGCUCCCAUGCUUCAUAUAAUGUUUCUUCGUCCCCUUGCUGAAAAUUUUGAAUUUGAUCUCUCUUUUU
Lactuca sativa (garden lettuce) is the source of this 107-nucleotide small nucleolar RNA. The record is from RefSeq and is a predicted model, not a curated record. Lineage: Eukaryota; Viridiplantae; Streptophyta; Magnoliopsida; Asterales; Asteraceae.